Molecule: ribosomal RNA, 425 nt
Filed under: uncultured bacterium
Lineage: Bacteria
Description: partial 16S ribosomal RNA
Rfam family: Bacterial small subunit ribosomal RNA
Source: RNAcentral
GUGGGGAAUCUUGCGCAAUGGACGAAAGCCUGACGCAGCCAUGCCGCGUGAAUGAUGAAGGUCUUAGGAUUGUAAAAUUCUUUCACCGGGGACGAUAAUGACGGUACCCGGAGAAGAAGCUCCGGCUAACUUCGUGCCAGCAGCCGCGGUAAUACGAAGGGGGCUAGCGUUGCUCGGAAUUACUGGGCGUAAAGGGCGCGUAGGCGGACAGCUUAGUCAGAGGUGAAAGCCCAGGGCUCAACCUUGGAAUUGCCUUUGAUACUGGCUGUCUUGAGUACGGGAGAGGUGAGUGGAACUCCGAGUGUAGAGGUGAAAUUCGUAGAUAUUCGGAAGAACACCAGUGGCGAAGGCGACUCACUGGCCCGUUACUGACGCUGAGGCGCGAAAGCGUGGGGAGCAAACAGGAUUAGAAACCCCAGUAGUCC